GCUCAGAUUGAACGCUGGCGGCAGGCCUAACACAUGCAAGUCGAGCGGUAGCACAGAGAGCUUGCUCUCGGGUGACGAGCGGCGGACGGGUGAGUAAUGUCUGGGAAACUGCCUGAUGGAGGGGGAUAACUACUGGAAACGGUAGCUAAUACCGCAUAACGUCGCAAGACCAAAGUGGGGGACCUUCGGGCCUCAUGCCAUCAGAUGUGCCCAGAUGGGAUUAGCUAGUAGGUGGGGUAACGGCUCACCUAGGCGACGAUCCCUAGCUGGUCUGAGAGGAUGACCAGCCACACUGGAACUGAGACACGGUCCAGACUCCUACGGGAGGCAGCAGUGGGGAAUAUUGCACAAUGGGCGCAAGCCUGAUGCAGCCAUGCCGCGUGUGUGAAGAAGGCCUUCGGGUUGUAAAGCACUUUCAGCGGGGAGGAAGGCGUUAAGGUUAAUAACCUUGGCGAUUGACGUUACCCGCAGAAGAAGCACCGGCUAACUCCGUGCCAGCAGCCGCGGUAAUACGGAGGGUGCAAGCGUUAAUCGGAAUUACUGGGCGUAAAGCGCACGCAGGCGGUCUGUCAAGUCGGAUGUGAAAUCCCCGGGCUCAACCUGGGAACUGCAUUCGAAACUGGCAGGCUAGAGUCUUGUAGAGGGGGGUAGAAUUCCAGGUGUAGCGGUGAAAUGCGUAGAGAUCUGGAGGAAUACCGGUGGCGAAGGCGGCCCCCUGGACAAAGACUGACGCUCAGGUGCGAAAGCGUGGGGAGCAAACAGGAUUAGAUACCCUGGUAGUCCACGCCGUAAACGAUGUCGAUUUGGAGGUUGUGCCCUUGAGGCGUGGCUUCCGGAGCUAACGCGUUAAAUCGACCGCCUGGGGAGUACGGCCGCAAGGUUAAAACUCAAAUGAAUUGACGGGGGCCCGCACAAGCGGUGGAGCAUGUGGUUUAAUUCGAUGCAACGCGAAGAACCUUACCUGGUCUUGACAUCCACAGAACUUUCCAGAGAUGGAUUGGUGCCUUCGGGAACUGUGAGACAGGUGCUGCAUGGCUGUCGUCAGCUCGUGUUGUGAAAUGUUGGGCUAAGUCCCGCAACGAGCGCAACCCUUAUCCUUUGUUGCCAGCGGUUCGGCCGGGAACUCAAAGGAGACUGCCAGUGAUAAACUGGAGGAAGGUGGGGAUGACGUCAAGUCAUCAUGGCCCUUACGACCAGGGCUACACACGUGCUACAAUGGCAUAUACAAAGAGAAGCGACCUCGCGAGAGCAAGCGGACCUCAUAAAGUAUGUCGUAGUCCGGAUUGGAGUCUGCAACUCGACUCCAUGAAGUCGGAAUCGCUAGUAAUCGUAGAUCAGAAUGCUACGGUGAAUACGUUCCCGGGCCUUGUACACACCGCCCGUCACACCAUGGGAGUGGGUUGCAAAAGAAGUAGGUAGCUUAACCUUCGGGAGGGCGCUUACCACUUUGUGAUUCAUGACUGGGGUGAAGUCGUAACAAGGU
RNAcentral lists this ribosomal RNA (1483 nucleotides) under uncultured bacterium. RNAcentral describes it as "bacterial SSU rRNA". It matches the Rfam family "Bacterial small subunit ribosomal RNA". The record is from RNAcentral.